Non-coding RNA from Peromyscus maniculatus bairdii (prairie deer mouse), 870 nucleotides. The record is from RefSeq and is a predicted model, not a curated record. Lineage: Eukaryota; Metazoa; Chordata; Mammalia; Rodentia; Cricetidae.
ACUUAACUUAUAAGGGAUUCUCUGCAACCUGUUGAGUUGCCUGCAGCCUGGGCAGCAUGCUCCAGGUUCCUAGCUUUUGUGAGCUAUACUCCAUGCUUGGGUGGACUUUGGUGAUGAUGCAGAUGUGCUUGAAUCAUUUCUUUUCCUGCUGGUUAUAUGGUGGAUUACUUUGACCAGUUUUCAUGUGUUGAACUGUGCCUGCAUUUAUAAUGGUGGAUGAUCUUCUUCAUGUGUUCCUGCAUUCUGUUUGCACCUCAUCAAGUGGAGCAGAAUUGAGGAUGGCAUAGGAGUAUCCCAUAAAAGCCAAAGCUAAGUCGGAGAGAGACAAGAGGACAAGUCUUUUUGCUGAGCCACAAAAAGACACUCACAUCAAGUUAUCUGCAAUUGUAGAGCCUUCAAGAUGGAGAUUCAAGAUUGUGAAAAGCACACACAUAAAAAUCAUGCUGAAUAGCCCCCAAUUUGUAAAAGAGUUCCAAAAGAAAUAGAAUUAAGGUAUGACUCCAAUUCAUCUCUCCUCUGGUUGAAUUCUACAUUGGGAUGGAGGCUGGAAACAGAAGAGGAACCCAGGGAGUAAAGAAGUUGGAAAAACCAAGGAUGGAGAAUUGGCAUUUUCUUUCAAGGGAAGGCUUGAUAUCUUAGUAUACCAUUGAGAGCAGAGAUGAGACAUCUUUAUUUAACUGAUGUUCAAAGUUCUGAUUGCAUACAGACUCAGACUUCACCUCAUUGACUGGAACUAUUUGAGGCUUAAAAAUACCUGAAUAACCACCUCUGAAUUUGUCUCCAAAACAGUCACACAAGUGAGUUUGAAAAGAAUAUGAAAGGAAAUGAAGUUGCUUUAUGACCUGCAUAUAGAAACCAAUACAUUGAAUU